CCCGAAAGGUCGAAGGCGGAGAUUCAACUGUCUUAUCGUUUGUGUCGGCGUCGUCGGGGCGCGAAUGCUAAACUGAGACGAUGGCGCGUGCGUUUUUUCGGAAGCGCGUUGCGCUUCGCUCGGCCUCGACGCACGAGACCUGACCGCGAAGGCAUGCACUUCUCCGUCUGUAGGACGUCGCGACCCGUUGGGCGUCGGUCUAAGGCCCGCCGUUUCGACUGUUCUCGCGUUUCGGCGCGAGCGACAGAGCGGCGGUGAUACUUUCCCGGCCGUGCGCCCGACGGUAUAAUCGAACGGACGGCGUUGGGUCGCGUCGACGAGACGCGUUCGAUCGUCCGCAAGUGCGUGCGCGUUAGUCGACUUCCAGUCGCCGACGGUCGGACCUGGUCCGGCCUCGGACGCGCAUCACUGUUGGCGUUGUACGAAUCUCGAACAGGCCCGAGCCGCGCGCUUGCGCGCGGCACGCCGUGUCGGCGACGCUAUAGCUUUGGGUACUUUCAGGACCCGUCUUGAAACACGGACCAAGGAGUCUAGCAUGUGCGCGAGUCACUGAGAUCUAUAUUAAACUCAAAGGCGUAAUGAAAGUGAAGGCACGUCGUUUUUACGCGACGGUAGCCGAGGGAGGAUCGGUCGCGCCGUUAGAACGCGGCCGCGCACUCCCGGGGCGUCUCGUUCUCAUUGCGAGUUGAGGCGCACCCAGAGCGUACACGCUGGGACCCGAAAGAUGGUGAACUAUGCCUGGUCAGGACGAAGUCAGGGGAAACCCUGAUGGAGGUCCGUAGCGAUUCUGACGUGCAAAUCGAUCGUCGGAACUGGGUAUAGGGGCGAAAGACUAAUCGAACCAUCUAGUAGCUGGUUCCCUCCGAAGUUUCCCUCAGGAUAGCUGGCGCUCGCGUUCGCACGGCGCGCGUUCACGCGCGCGUCGUUCGCGUUCACGAGUCUCAUCUGGUAAAGCGAAUGAUUAGAGGCCUUGGGGCCGAAACGACCUCAACCUAUUCUCAAACUUUAAAUGGGUGAGAUCUCCGGCUUGCUCGAAUCGAUGAAGCCGCGAGAUAAUUAUGGAUCGAGAGUGCCAAGUGGGCCACUUUU
Molecule: ribosomal RNA, 1089 nt
Filed under: Alena distincta
Lineage: Eukaryota; Metazoa; Arthropoda; Insecta; Raphidioptera; Raphidiidae
Description: eukaryotic LSU rRNA
Rfam family: Eukaryotic large subunit ribosomal RNA (bases 385-1089)
Source: RNAcentral